This 251-nucleotide unclassified non-coding RNA is filed under the name plant metagenome. RNAcentral describes it as "partial contains small subunit ribosomal RNA, internal transcribed spacer 1, and 5.8S ribosomal RNA". The stretch from base 1 to 54 matches the Rfam family "Eukaryotic small subunit ribosomal RNA", at positions 1778 to 1831 of the family's 1831-position model. The record is from RNAcentral.
AGAAGUAAAAGUCGUAACAAGGUUUCCGUAGGUGAACCUGCGGAAGGAUCAUUAUUGAACUAAACCUGACGGGUUGCUGCUGGCUCUCCAGGGGAGCAAUGUGCACACCUUGUCAUCUUUAUAUCUCCACCUGUGCACUUUUUGUAGACCUUUUCAGGUCUAUGUUGCUUCAUUUUACCCCAAUUGUAUGUCAAUAGAAUGUUGUGCCUUUAUAAUAUAUACAACUUUCAGCAACGGAUCUCUUGGCUCUC